AUUGAACGCUGGCGGCAUGCCUAACACAUGCAAGUCGAACGGUAACAGGAAGAAGCUUGCUUCUUUGCUUACGAGUGGCGGACGUGUGAGUAAUGUCUGGGAAACUGCCUGAUGGAGGGGGAUAACUACUGGAAACGGUAGCUAAUACCGCAUAACGUCGCAAGACCAAAGAGGGGGACCUUCGGGCCUCUUGCCAUCGGAUGUGCCCAGAUGGGAUUAGCUAGUAGGUGGGGUAACGGCUCACCUAGGCGACGAUCCCUAGCUGGUCUGAGAGGAUGACCAGCCACACUGGAACUGAGACACGGUCCAGACUCCUACGGGAGGCAGCAGUGGGGAAUAUUGCACAAUGGGCGCAAGCCUGAUGCAGCCAUGCCGCGUGUAUGAAGAAGGUCUUCGGGUUGUAAAGUACUUUCAGCGGGGAGGAAGGGAGUAAAGUUAAUACCUUUGCUCAUUGACGUUACCCGCAGAAGAAGCACCGGCUAACUCCGUG
RNAcentral lists this ribosomal RNA (490 nucleotides) under uncultured bacterium. RNAcentral's name for it is "partial 16S ribosomal RNA". It matches the Rfam family "Bacterial small subunit ribosomal RNA", at positions 30 to 507 of the family's 1533-position model. The record is from RNAcentral.